AGCUCCAAUAGCGUAUAUUAAAGUUGCUGCAGUUAAAAAGCUCGUAGUUGGAUCUCGGGGUACCUGGUCUAGCCGGUAUAGCUCACGCUAAAACUGGUCUGACCCCCCAACGUGAGGUAUUCGUCUCCGGGUGCACUUCAUUGGGUGCUCGUGAGGGGCCUCGUAGUUACUGUGAAAAAAUUAGAGUGUUCAAAGCAGGCUCAUAUGUUCGGAUAGUCGUGCAUGGAAUAAUGAAUUAGGGAACGGGGGUUUUCCGGUGGGUCUGGCGGACGGGUAAAAGAAUAAGAGGGAAUGCCGGGGGCAUUGGUAUGGCGGGGUUAGAGGUGAAAUUCUUGGAUCCUCGCCAGACCAACAAAAGCGAAAGCAUUUGCCAAGAAUGUCUUCA
This 385-nucleotide ribosomal RNA is filed under the name marine Metazoa environmental sample. Its description in RNAcentral is "SSU rRNA". It matches the Rfam family "Eukaryotic small subunit ribosomal RNA", at positions 587 to 972 of the family's 1831-position model. The record is from RNAcentral. Lineage: Eukaryota; Metazoa.